This 364-nucleotide unclassified non-coding RNA is filed under the name air metagenome. RNAcentral describes it as "partial contains small subunit ribosomal RNA, internal transcribed spacer 1, and 5.8S ribosomal RNA". The stretch from base 1 to 46 matches the Rfam family "Eukaryotic small subunit ribosomal RNA", at positions 1786 to 1831 of the family's 1831-position model. The record is from RNAcentral.
AAGUCGUAACAAGGUUUCCGUAGGUGAACCUGCGGAAGGAUCAUUAUUGAAGCAUCGAGGGUUGAGCUGACUUGUAAUGAGUACUGUGCUCGCCUUCAACUUCUAUUUACCCACUUUGUGAACCUUUGUAGACCAUGGAUUACACUUAGCAACAAUCGUACUGUUCGUAGUACUGAAUAUCGCAUUGUUCGUAAUGCUGCAUUGUUGUCAGUCUUCAGUGACUGGAAGGGGGAUUGCGUUCAGCUUUUCCCGCGUGGUCCUACGGUCUAUGUUAUCCCCAACCCAAUACAGUUUAGAAUGUCAUUUGUGGGUCGAAAGACCUAUAAUUAAAAUACAACUUUCAACAACGGAUCUCUUGGCUCUC